CGCGUAGGGUGCGAGCGUUGUCCGGAAUUAUUGGGCGUAAAGAGCUCGUAGGCGGUGUGUCGCGUCGGCCGUGAAAACCCGGGGCUCAACCCCGGGCCUGCAGUCGAUACGGGCAGACUAGAGUGCGGUAGGGGAGACUGGAAUUCCUGGUGUAGCGGUGAAAUGCGCAGAUAUCAGGAGGAACACCGGUGGCGAAGGCGGGUCUCUGGGCAGUAACUGACGCUGAGGAGCGAAAGCGUGGGGAGCGAACAGG
Molecule: ribosomal RNA, 253 nt
Filed under: uncultured bacterium
Lineage: Bacteria
Description: partial 16S ribosomal RNA
Rfam family: Bacterial small subunit ribosomal RNA
Source: RNAcentral